Non-coding RNA from Jatropha curcas, 127 nucleotides. The record is from Rfam. NCBI's taxonomy places the organism in Eukaryota, Viridiplantae, Streptophyta, Magnoliopsida, Malpighiales, Euphorbiaceae.
AGGCAACCUCUUUGCAGAAAAUUCAAUGGCGAAGAAGGUGUUAAACUGCUCGUAUAUUGAAUGGCUUUUGCUCUUCAGACUUGCUGAGAUUUUUCAUUGAAGCCGGUCUAGUAAGCCUUGGCACAUU